AACGAACGCUGGCGGCAUGCCUAACACAUGCAAGUCGAACGAGACCUUCGGGUCUAGUGGCGCACGGGUGCGUAACGCGUGGGAACCUGCCCUUAGGUUCGGAAUAACUCCCCGAAAGGGGUGCUAAUACCGGAUAAUGUCUUCGGACCAAAGAUUUAUCGCCUUUGGAUGGGCCCGCGUUGGAUUAGCUAGUUGGUAGGGUAAAAGCCUACCAAGGCGACGAUCCAUAGCUGGUCGGAGAGGAUGAUCAGCCACACUGGGAAUGAGACACGGCCCAGACUCCUACGGGAGGCAGCAGUGGGGAAUAUUGGACAAUGGGCGAAAGUCUGAUCAAGCAAUGCCGCGUGAGUGAUGAAGGCCUUAGGGUUGUAAAGCUCUUUUACCCGGGAUGAUAAUGACAGUACCGGGAGAAUAAGCUCCGGCUAACUCCGUG
This 433-nucleotide ribosomal RNA is filed under the name uncultured bacterium. RNAcentral's name for it is "partial 16S ribosomal RNA". It matches the Rfam family "Bacterial small subunit ribosomal RNA", at positions 29 to 507 of the family's 1533-position model. The record is from RNAcentral.